This 516-nucleotide ribosomal RNA is filed under the name uncultured Paraglomus. RNAcentral's name for it is "SSU rRNA". It matches the Rfam family "Eukaryotic small subunit ribosomal RNA", at positions 571 to 1092 of the family's 1831-position model. The record is from RNAcentral. Lineage: Eukaryota; Fungi; Glomeromycota; Glomeromycetes; Paraglomerales; Paraglomeraceae.
CAGCCGCGGUAAUCCAGCUCCAAUAGCGUAUAUUAAAGUUGUUGCAGUUAAAAAGCUCGUAGUUGAAUUUCAGGCCUGGCUGGACGGUCCGCCCUUCGGGUGAGUACUGUCUGUGGUCGGGUCCUACCUUCUGGCGAAGCGUCAUGGCCUUAACCGGCCGUGGCGGGGAACCAGGACUUUUACUGUGAAAAAAUUAGAGUGUUCAAAGCAGGCAAUCGCUUGGAUACAUUAGCAUGGAAUAAUGGAAUAGGACAAUGGUUCUAUUUGUUGGUUUCUAGGACCGUUGUAAUGAUUAAUAGGGAUAGUUGGGGGCAUUAGUAUUCAAUUGUCAGAGGUGAAAUUCUUGGAUUUAUUGAAGACUAACUACUGCGAAAGCAUUUGCCAAGGAUGUUUUCAUUAAUCAAGAACGAAAGUUAGGGGAUCGAAGACGAUCAGAUACCGUCGUAGUCUUAACCAUAAACUAUGCCGACUAGGAAUCGGGCGAUGUUGAAAAAAUGACGCGCUCGGCACCUCAUG